This 99-nucleotide signal recognition particle RNA is filed under the name Treponema sp. RNAcentral's name for it is "signal recognition particle sRNA small type". It matches the Rfam family "Bacterial small signal recognition particle RNA". Rfam says of the family: The signal recognition particle (SRP) is a universally conserved ribonucleoprotein involved in the co-translational targeting of proteins to membranes. Archaeal SRP consists of a 7S RNA and homologues of the eukaryotic SRP19 and SRP54 proteins. In most bacteria, the SRP consists of a 4.5S RNA and the Ffh protein (a homologue of the eukaryotic SRP54 protein). Lineage: Bacteria; Pseudomonadati; Spirochaetota; Spirochaetia; Treponematales; Treponemataceae. RNAcentral also lists the same sequence under 3 other names. The record is from RNAcentral.
AGUCAGGAACCAUGCGAAAGAGCGCCGCCCAACCCCGCCAGGUCCGGAAGGAAGCAACGGUAAGCGGAGGCUCUUUGCGCCGUGGUCUUCCUGGCCGCG